UCCGAGUUGUAAUUUGCAGAGGGCGCUUUGGUGUUGGCAGCGGUCCAAGUUCCUUGGAACAGGACGUCACAGAGGGUGAGAAUCCCGUACGUGGUCGCUAGCCUCCGCCGUGUAAAGCCCCUUCGACGAGUCGAGUUGUUUGGGAAUGCAGCUCUAAAUGGGAGGUAAAUUUCUUCUAAAGCUAAAUACUGGCCAGAGACCGAUAGCGCACAAGUAGAGUGAUCGAAAGAUGAAAAGCACUUUGGAAAGAGAGUCAAAUAGCACGUGAAAUUGUUGAAAGGGAAGCGCUUGCAGCCAGACUUGCCUGUAGUUGCUCAUCUGGGCUUUUGCCCGGUGCAUUCUUCUGCAGGCAGGCCAGCAUCAGUUUGGGCGGUUGGAUAAAGGUCUCUGUCAUGUACCUCUCUUCGGGGAGGCCUUAUAGGGGAGACGUCAUGCAACCAGCCUGGACUGAGGUCCGCGCAUUUGCUAGGAUGCUGGCGUAAUGGCUGUAAGCGGCCCGUCUUGAAACACGGACCAAGGAGUCUAACAUCUAUGCGAGUGUUUGGGUGUCAAGCCCGAGCGCGUAAUGAAAGUGAACGGAGGUGGGAACCCUUUGGGUGCACCAUCGACCGAUCCUGAUGUCUUCGGAAGGAUUUGAGUAAGAGCAUGGCUGUUGGGACCCGAAAGAUGGUGAACUAUGCUUGAAUAGGGU
Molecule: ribosomal RNA, 691 nt
Filed under: Sphaerellopsis paraphysata
Lineage: Eukaryota; Fungi; Ascomycota; Dothideomycetes; Pleosporales; Leptosphaeriaceae
Description: partial large subunit ribosomal RNA
Rfam family: Eukaryotic large subunit ribosomal RNA
Source: RNAcentral